Molecule: ribosomal RNA, 288 nt
Filed under: Scyphosphaera apsteinii
Lineage: Eukaryota; Haptophyta; Coccosphaerales; Pontosphaeraceae
Description: partial Bacterial small subunit ribosomal RNA
Rfam family: Bacterial small subunit ribosomal RNA
Source: RNAcentral
UGGCUCAGAUUGAACGCUGGCGGCAGGCUUAACACAUGCAAGUCGAGCGGUAACAGGGGUAGCUUGCUACCCGCUGACGAGCGGCGGACGGGUGAGUAAUGCAUAGGAAACUGCCCAGUAGUGGGGGAUAGCCCGGGGAAACCCGGAUUAAUACCGCAUACGUCCUUCGGGAGAAAGCAGGGGAUCUUCGGACCUUGCGCUAUUGGAUGUGCCUAUGUCGGAUUAGCUGGUUGGUGAGGUAAUGGCUCACCAAGGCGACGAUCCGUAGCUGGUCUGAGAGGAUGAUCA